GGGUUGUGAGGUUAAGCGACUAAGCGUACACGGUGGAUGCCCUGGCAGUCAGAGGCGAUGAAGGACGUGCUAAUCUGCGAAAAGCGUCGGUAAGGUGAUAUGAACCGUUAUAACCGGCGAUGUCCGAAUGGGGAAACCCAGUGCAAUUCGUUGCACUAUCGUUAACUGAAUACAUAGGUUAACGAGGCGAACCGGGGGAACUGAAACAUCUAAGUACCCCGAGGAAAAGAAAUCAACCGAGAUUCCCCCAGUAGCGGCGAGCGAACGGGGAGCAGCCCAGAGUCUGAAUCAGCUUGUGUGUUAGUGGAACGGUCUGGAAAGUCCGACGGUACAGGGUGAUAGUCCCGUACACCAAAAUGCACAGGCUGUGAACUCGAAGAGUAGGGCGGGACACGUGGUAUCCUGUCUGAAUAUGGGGGGACCAUCCUCCAAGGCUAAAUACUCCUGACUGACCGAUAGUGAACCAGUACCGUGAGGGAAAGGCGAAAAGAACCCCGGCGAGGGGAGUGAAAAAGAACCUGAAACCGUGUACGUACAAGCAGUGGGAGCACCUUCGGGUGUGACUGCGUACCUUUUGUAUAAUGGGUCAGCGACUUAUAUUCUGUAGCAAGGUUAACCGUAUAGGGGAGCCGCAGGGAAACCGAGUCUUAACUGGGCGUUAAGUUGCAGGGUAUAGACCCGAAACCCGGUGAUCUAGCCAUGGGCAGGUUGAAGGUUGGGUAACACUAACUGGAGGACCGAACCGACUAAUGUUGAAAAAUUAGCGGAUGACUUGUGGCUGGGGGUGAAAGGCCAAUCAAACCGGGAGAUAGCUGGUUCUCCCCGAAAGCUAUUUAGGUAGCGCCUCGUGAACUCAUCUUCGGGGGUAGAGCACUGUUUCGGCUAGGGGGUCAUCCCGACUUACCAACCCGAUGCAAACUACGAAUACCGAAGAAUGUUAUCACGGGAGACACACGGCGGGUGCUAACGUCCGUCGUGAAGAGGGAAACAACCCAGACCGCCAGCUAAGGUCCCAAAGUCAUGGUUAAGUGGGAAACGAUGUGGGAAGGCACAGACAGCCAGGAUGUUGGCUUAGAAGCAGCCAUCAUUUAAAGAAAGCGUAAUAGCUCACUGGUCGAGUCGGCCUGCGCGGAAGAUGUAACGGGGCUAAACCAUGCACCGAAGCUGCGGCAGCGACACUAUGUGUUGUUGGGUAGGGGAGCGUUCUGUAAGCCUGCGAAGGUGUGCUGUGAGGCAUGCUGGAGGUAUCAGAAGUGCGAAUGCUGACAUAAGUAACGAUAAAGCGGGUGAAAAGCCCGCUCGCCGGAAGACCAAGGGUUCCUGUCCAACGUUAAUCGGGGCAGGGUGAGUCGACCCCUAAGGCGAGGCCGAAAGGCGUAGUCGAUGGGAAACAGGUUAAUAUUCCUGUACUUGGUGUUACUGCGAAGGGGGGACGGAGAAGGCUAUGUUAGCCGGGCGACGGUUGUCCCGGUUUAAGCAUGUAGGCUGGUUGUCCAGGCAAAUCCGGAUAAUCAAGGCUGAGGUGUGAUGACGAGGCACUACGGUGCUGAAGUAACAAAUGCCCUGCUUCCAGGAAAAGCCUCUAAGCAUCAGGUAACAUCAAAUCGUACCCCAAACCGACACAGGUGGUCAGGUAGAGAAUACCAAGGCGCUUGAGAGAACUCGGGUGAAGGAACUAGGCAAAAUGGUGCCGUAACUUCGGGAGAAGGCACGCUGGUGUGUAGGUGAAGUCCCUGCGGAUGGAGCUGAGACCAGUCGAAGAUACCAGCUGGCUGCAACUGUUUAUUAAAAACACAGCACUGUGCAAACACGAAAGUGGACGUAUACGGUGUGACGCCUGCCCGGUGCCGGAAGGUUAAUUGAUGGGGUUAUCCGUAAGGAGAAGCUCUUGAUCGAAGCCCCGGUAAACGGCGGCCGUAACUAUAACGGUCCUAAGGUAGCGAAAUUCCUUGUCGGGUAAGUUCCGACCUGCACGAAUGGCGUAAUGAUGGCCAGGCUGUCUCCACCCGAGACUCAGUGAAAUUGAACUCGCUGUGAAGAUGCAGUGUACCCGCGGCAAGACGGAAAGACCCCGUGAACCUUUACUAUAGCUUGACACUGAACAUUGAGCCUUGAUGUGUAGGAUAGGUGGGAGGCUUUGAAGCGUGGACGCCAGUCUGCGUGGAGCCAACCUUGAAAUACCACCCUUUAAUGUUUGAUGUUCUAACGUUGGCCCCUGACCGGGGUUGCGGACAGUGUCUGGUGGGUAGUUUGACUGGGGCGGUCUCCUCCCAAAGCGUAACGGAGGAGCACGAAGGUUAGCUAAUCCUGGUCGGACAUCAGGAGGUUAGUGCAAUGGCAUAAGCUAGCUUGACUGCGAGCGUGACGGCGCGAGCAGGUGCGAAAGCAGGUCAUAGUGAUCCGGUGGUUCUGAAUGGAAGGGCCAUCGCUCAACGGAUAAAAGGUACUCCGGGGAUAACAGGCUGAUACCGCCCAAGAGUUCAUAUCGACGGCGGUGUUUGGCACCUCGAUGUCGGCUCAUCACAUCCUGGGGCUGAAGUAGGUCCCAAGGGUAUGGCUGUUCGCCAUUUAAAGUGGUACGCGAGCUGGGUUUAGAACGUCGUGAGACAGUUCGGUCCCUAUCUGCCGUGGGCGCUGGAGAAUUGAGGGGGGCUGCUCCUAGUACGAGAGGACCGGAGUGGACGCAUCACUGGUGUUCGGGUUGUCAUGCCAAUGGCACUGCCCGGUAGCUAAAUGCGGAAGAGAUAAGUGCUGAAAGCAUCUAAGCACGAAACUUGCCCCGAGAUGAGUUCUCCCUGAGACUUUAAGUCUCCUGAAGGAACGUUGAAGACGACGACGUUGAUAGGCCGGGUGUGUAAGCGCAGCGAUGCGUUGAGCUAACCGGUACUAAUGAACCGUGAGGCUUAACCUUACAACGCCGAAG
This 2923-nucleotide ribosomal RNA is filed under the name Klebsiella pneumoniae. Its description in RNAcentral is "bacterial LSU rRNA". It matches the Rfam family "Bacterial large subunit ribosomal RNA". The record is from RNAcentral. Lineage: Bacteria; Pseudomonadati; Pseudomonadota; Gammaproteobacteria; Enterobacterales; Enterobacteriaceae.